RNA transcript from Triticum dicoccoides, 2044 nucleotides. RefSeq lists it as uncharacterized. The record is from RefSeq and is a predicted model, not a curated record. The transcript has 11 exons. Lineage: Eukaryota; Viridiplantae; Streptophyta; Magnoliopsida; Poales; Poaceae.
GACUUCUGAAAAUGAACUAACUCAUUUUGCCCUCUGAUCUGAUGCGUGGCAGGGUCCAGUUGCACGCCCAGUCCCUAGGAUGGCCGCCUCAUUCAAUCCAGAAGCUCAUGGGAUGCAAGGCACACCACACCUUGAACCUCAUGGACCCAGAUCCGCCAUGGUCGCCCGGGGCUUCUUCAACAUCAGCCGCCAUGGUGGUCCUGCUCCGUGCCGUGCCAACCCAGGGGGCGCGAUGGAGGGAUUCGCGCCGUCGAAGGAGAUGCUCACGCGGCGGCUGCUUCUGCUCGCCCGUUGCCCACGCCAUGGCAGGAAGGAGGAAGAGACGCGGAAGGAAGGAGGAACAGGCCGUUGUUGGACUCCACGGAGACGCUCCUCUUCCACUCCCUCAUCCCCCAAGUGUUUCGGUUGAAGAGAGCAUCCUUGCAUCUCUUGGGUCAUUCCAGCAAAUGUGGUUCUUCAAAGCCAAGCAAGUAUUAAGAGCAUGGGGUUCGAUUGGCCAGGAACACCAUCCUCGACGAGUCCCAUGAGAGGGUCUACUCCACAAUGUGUGAAGCGGCUCCUCCCACGUCCAUCUUCUACCGUCCACGCUGCCGCUGAUUCCUCCUCCACGGAGGAACAUCAGAGGAGGCGCAGAGGAGUGGUCAAUGCCGACCGACGAAGCUUGUAAGUGGCGUGUCGUGUGGAUGGAUCCAGAAUCGAUCAAUGCGGAUUCGCCGCCUCAGCAAGGCCUCAUUCUUGCCUUGGGGUGCACAAGCUCUGUCAGGUAGCUGCACAUCCCGUACAACCACAAACCACACCACUGGAGCUUCCCACAUUUGUAGCAGCUUCUAGAUCCAAGGUAUUUACCGUAACUGCUAGACGAUUGUCGAGUCAUAUACUCCAGAGGCUGUCGUGUGGUGUGUGCGGGGGAGAACUUCACCAGCGAGUCCGUUGAUGUGAGGCCUACUUCAACUGUAAAAGGCUCCCAACGCAAGAGGCGCCCUCCAUGGACGACAUUGACGAGGAACAUGCGGGACCACAUGCCCAGGUUGUCGAGCUCGCCUGCUAUAAGUACAGAUUUGCUAUGAUUUCUUGAUUAUAUGGGAUUAGAAAGGAGAUGAUGCCCAGUUGGUGUCGCAUCUUCUGUGCACCGUGGAGGUGGUGGCCGCAGCUUCCUCGGUUCUAGAUCACACAUGUUGACUCGUCUUUGAAGCACGGAGAAGUCGAUGCCUCAAAGGCGCUUGCAUUGAUACCGUUGACAGCUAAUUACCGAGGGAAUGAUCAUGAUUUCGUGCACUCUCCUGGGGUCAUAUCCUCAGCUAAGAAAGCUGUAGCGAACUCGCGAGCUAUUGUUCCAGUUACACCUGUAGAUUCGAGCAGAGGCGAUAGUUCCAACAAAUAAGGUGAAGAGAUCAUUAGAAAAAGAGGCAGCUCAAAUUAGACGUCCGUUCUCUGUUGCUGAAGUGGAAACACUUGUGCUUGCAGUCGAAAAGAUUGGAACUGGAAGACGGCGAGAUGUUAAACUUCAUGCUUUUGAUAACGCCAAGCAUCGGACCUGUGUUGAUCUUAUGAUUCUAAGGCCGAGAACCUUGUCGUACAGGCAAUACAGAACCACCAGGGCAGGGUGGCCGAGCAGAGUUGUUUCCGUUUAUGGCUACAUGGACCACGGUGCAGAGACGAUGUUGUCUAGCAUGAGUUUGGUCAGCAAAGCAGCCCUGCUUGUUUCGGUGCUCAUUCCUGUGCGGUGCCUUUGGUUGCUGCUUCCUCUUCGACUCCGGCAUAGGGAUAAAUAAAGAUGUUGGCCCUUACAAAUCCUGGAAACUCACACAGGUUGAUUAGAAAGGGUUGAAAUACAAGGAAAACUAGGCUCCGAGAGUACUCCCUCUCCCUCGUUAAAUUUUGUUCCAAUCAUCACAUUAUGAUCACCUGCCGGUUUAGCAACAUACUUUUGGUAGCAUUAAGAUAUUUUUUCAUAGAAUGGUGAAACCUUUUAAUGUUUGUCCGAAUCCCCGGAAAUGAUACUUUUAUAACCAGAGUAUGAAAUUCAUAGUUAGCGAUCGGGUCA